RNAcentral lists this ribosomal RNA (253 nucleotides) under uncultured bacterium. RNAcentral describes it as "partial 16S ribosomal RNA". It matches the Rfam family "Bacterial small subunit ribosomal RNA", at positions 524 to 776 of the family's 1533-position model. The record is from RNAcentral.
UACGAAGGGGGCUAGCGUUGCUCGGAAUUACUGGGCGUAAAGGGCGCGUAGGCGGCUUGGUCAGUCAGGCGUGAAAUUCCUGGGCUCAACCUGGGGACUGCGCUUGAUACGGCCAGGCUUGAGGCCGAGAGAGGGUGGUGGAAUUCCCAGUGUAGAGGUGAAAUUCGUAGAUAUUGGGAAGAACACCGGUGGCGAAGGCGACCACCUGGCUCGGUACUGACGCUGAGGCGCGACAGCGUGGGGAGCAAACAGG